CCUCCGAUCAUCAUGUGGGCGUUAUGAGUACUUGAGCUUCUUCCACUCUUUUAGGAGCAAAAAAUUCAUGUAUCUAUCAUUGGAUUAUUCCGACCUGCUCGAUAUAUAAUCAGUGGCAUUUCUGCAUGCAUGCGUGUAAGUGUUCUGAUCACAGCUCAUCUCUCAAUUGAAGACUAUAAUUUGCUUCGCAAGCUGAAGUACGUACGACAACUCGUGAUCAAGUGAUUCAUAUUUUUUUUAAUGGCACCAAAGUGAAUUAGAGAAAUGGCGCCAUUCUUAGUCCCGGCUUCUUACAGUGAAAGUCGUGAAGAGCGGGGCAAGUACUGGCAUAGUUUGGACUUGGAGCGGCCGGGAGGACAACGAGAUGAUAGUCUGCCUGCAGGAGAGAUCAGAGAAAUGGCACCCAAGCUAGUCGUAGCCGCAACUCACAGAGAAAGUCGUGAAGAGCAUAUUGAGCGGCGGGCACUACAAGAAAUUAGCCCUUUUGCAGCGUUUUUAAUUAUGCUGCAAUUAAAAUCGCUGCAAUAGAUAUCCUUUUGCAGCGAAAUAUUACUCCUUGCAAGAUUUUUACAUCGAUCCACGGUUUAAUGAAGCGGGGCGCUUCACUUAGGUUUUUACAGCGAAAUUUGAGUCUAUAGCGACGACAAAAUGCGUUGCAAAAAAAUACUUCUUGUAGUGGCAUAAUAUCGUUGCUACUGGCUACGGGCGCGAAAUCGGAGGAGAAUUUCUUUUUCCCCCCCCAAACCUUUGUUACCGAGUUCAGAGUUCUCCACUUCGCGCCUCUUGCCCAUUUCUCCUACCUUCAGUACCCAGGAGACCAACUUCAUAUCUUCGGCUGGAAAUCUACCACCAUUGUCGCUUAGGUUCCGAACCCUACAAUCUCCACCACCUCAUUUCCCUUUCGCGGAAGCCACGGUCCUCGUUUCCUCCCCAUCCCGCUGUGUGGGUUUGUGAUUUGAAGUCGGUGUGAUUUUAUUCUGGGGUUCUCUUUGCAUCGGACGUUGCCAUUGUCAAACCUAACAAUUGUUGCAAUCCUUCCGUCACCACAGGUAUUGAUUCUACCAUUCAUAUUCCUCUCUCUGCCCCUUCAUCCGCAGUCGCCCAUUUGCAUAAAUGGGAGCUUAUUAGCUAAUGCAGAGGUUAUGGUAGAUGUUGCAGUCUAUUGACGCCAUUAUUUUCGCUGAAAAUUUUUUUAUUUCAUUUCAUUUAUAUCUGCAUUUUUUGAUCGCUGAAGAUGUUGGUUGUAUGAAAUUAGGCCUAAAUUUACUAGGUUAUAGUUUCAAAUUGCACCGUAACCGCUGAUUGACAUUCCCUUUUGCUUGAAAUCCCUAAUUAUCCAGAUUUUAGGUUAGGAUUUGAAUAGCAUCGAAAAAUUGGAAGUGAGAGAGGGCUAAUUUCUUGUAGUGAGAGAGGAGAGACUAAUUGUGUGGUAGAGGAGAUAGAAUUAACGGGGGAUGACAAAACUUUGUAAUACAUAUGGUUUUAAUAUUCAGGCUAGAAAAAUGUUGGUUAAGCACAUGCUACCUACAAGAAAUUAAGCACUAUGUUGUCAUCGUCAACAUAUUUAUAGGAUUGGAAAGAUAUAUUUGGUCAUUCUAAGUUCUAACGGCCAUAUAUAUAUAUAUAUAUAUAUAUAUACUGAUUUCAUGAUUAUUAACAUUAGAUGGAAUUUGAGAUGCAUGCAUGCCAUUCAUGACAAUAACACAAAUGAUUUUAAUUCAUGUGUCAUCGAAGUAGGCAUCAUUACAUGCAGGUUGAAGACAAAAUAUUGUCUCAUGAGAUUGCAAGCAAGAAAAAUAAGAUUUUAUUAGUUUUCAUAAAUUUCCAUUUAAGGGGAAUUAUCGACUUUCAAGAAACAUCUAUGUUGGUUUUAGUUUAAAAAUAAAAAUAAAGCAGUACUGUUGAAAGUGUUAUUUUGUGAAGCUUUGAUACUUUUAGCUAAGCUUGUUGUAUCAAUCAUGGUUUGGCAUCCAUGUGUAAUAUGAUCCCUAUGUUUCGGAUAUGAAAAGCCAUGGAAUUUGACAGUUAAGUUUGUAAAUAAUGGCUUUGUAUUUUUAGUUCUUUCAAAUUAUAUAUAUAUAUAUGGAUCUAAUUAACGUGAUUUCAACAUGCAUGUGAGAUUAUAAAUAUUAUAUAUAUAAUUAAGGUGCCCUUUACUUGCAAGGUUUGACUUGACAAACUAAAAGCUGAUAAUUUCUCCACAAACAUAGAAGGGGAAAUGGAGAAAACCGUGUCUUCGUUUUUCCAAAUUACAUGCUCAAAGGUUAGAUGACAUGAGCUCCUCUAGCUAGAUGUCGAGUAGAAUUAAUUUGGAUCAUCUACUGUCAAAAGACUAGGACUUGCAAUGAUAAGAGAAAGAUGAGAAAGAUAAAUACAUAGAGUAGAUCCUAUAGCAUUUACAUUUUCUGUUAUCUAUCUCUCUCCAAGAUUCUCUGUCCAUGUGAUCUACCAAAGAAAUUCUUUACUUGAUACUUUGCUAGGUGGCUGGUGGCAGAUGUAUGCAUGGUUGGUCCACCUGCUAAUAUGUCACAUGUUUAUUUUUUUCUUUUUGCAUUGCAUAGGAGUUCUUGGUGCCACUUCUUUUACUUUAUAAAACCAGCCCUAUGAACUUUAUAUUUUUUUCAAGAAAAUUCAUUGAAGUAUAUGAGUUCCAUGCCUUGGUCAUAGAUACACUUUGUUGUGUAUGUCUAGUGCCACAAAGACGUCUAAAAUUUUUCUAAGCUUUAGUUAAUUUUUAUCACUGAGUAUGGUUUAUUUUGAGAAGCAAGUGAAGUUCAAUAUAAACUUUUUUCCAAUGAAUGAGAAGCAGUAUAUGUUUAGUACAUUAUUUAUUCUAAUUAUUUCUUUCAAGUAGAUUGCAAAUACUACAUUUUGCCAAAUUAUUGAUGCACCCUAUAUUCUGCCUAACUCAUGAGUUUGUCUUGCUAGUGUUUUUCUGGUCUGGUCACCAUGCUUGUGCAUACCCUGUUUCUCUCUCUCACUUUACAAUUUGGCUCUUCUUGGAUUUUUCUACCAUCUCUAGCUCUUUUCUGACAUUUUCCUGCAUCUUUUCGUCAUUUUGGUAGAUAAGUGUAUGACCAUUUAACCAGCCAGCCGACCUAUAAAUGUGGAAAUUUACUUAAUUUUCAUUUCAAUUGAUCUGCCAUGUUGUAACUCACAAGUUCCAUCAUAUCUGUCCUCUGUUUUUUGGUUUAUUAAUGUUAAUGUGAUGCAUGGUGGAACUUAAGGGACCAUUGCAGCGAUCAAUCUCAAUAAAUGGAAUAUGGUUUGCAAUGUUUGCAUAAGUUGUUCUGCUAGCAUACAAUAAACUGUUUUUUCACAUCUAAUUCUAAACUCAUCAGUCUUUACCUGACUAGCUGAAUGCCAUAAACAAAAAUAGUUUACUAUUGGAUUUAUAAUAUGAUGCAAAUGAAGUUAUAAGUGAUAUUGUAAUUUUAUUAUAAACAUUGAGAAUUGUGUAUAUUUUCUGAAUCUUGAGAUGUUUGGAUGUUGAGAUGGGAUGAGAUAGAUUAAGACCAUCUCAACAUCCAAACAUCUCACCUCAGCAAGUCUAAUACACCAAAAUUUACAUACAUAUAUAUAUAUAGGAGUACUAUAAUUGCAUGCAUGGAUGAUGAAGUUCAUAUGUAGCAAAUUAAGAAAGGUCGACGGCAAGUGGGGCCAGGCUGCCAGGAUACGAACGAGGUAGAAGCUGGAUUCUGAUCGAGGAUACAUGCUGAAGGUGUGUAGGGGGUGGAAGAAAGAUGAGGACUGAGGAGCACCUCAGCUUAGAGCAGGGUCCCAUUAGAUCACGAGCUUCUUGCAUUCAGUUGUGUAUAUAAGUGAUUAUUAUAGAUGACAGUUGACACAAACACAACUGCAUGGGCAGGACAAAAAGCUUUCACCCACUUAGUCUAUCACGUUAGAUCAUGACACUACCUCCUCAUGCAUGCAUGUUCGGUUCUUUGAUAUCUCUUUCUUGGUCUCUCCCCAGCAAAAAAAGCUAAUUAAUGAUAAUAUAAUAAUGAGGAUAACUCAAUGCACUAUACAUGUUCA
This is a long non-coding RNA of Carya illinoinensis, 4035 nucleotides long. RefSeq lists it as uncharacterized. Lineage: Eukaryota; Viridiplantae; Streptophyta; Magnoliopsida; Fagales; Juglandaceae. The transcript is spliced from 3 exons. The record is from RefSeq and is a predicted model, not a curated record.